GGAGGGCUGGCCGAGUGGUUGAAGGCGGCGGUCUUGAAAACCGCUAGGGAGGUACCCACUCCUUCCUCAUGGGUUCGAAUCCCAUGCCCUCCGCCC
RNAcentral lists this transfer RNA (96 nucleotides) under Kineococcus radiotolerans SRS30216 = ATCC BAA-149. Its description in RNAcentral is "tRNA-Ser-TGA-1-1". It matches the Rfam family "tRNA". From Rfam's summary of the family: Transfer RNA (tRNA) molecules are approximately 80 nucleotides in length. Their secondary structure includes four short double-helical elements and three loops (D, anti-codon, and T loops). Further hydrogen bonds mediate the characteristic L-shaped molecular structure. tRNAs have two regions of fundamental functional importance: the anti-codon, which is responsible for specific mRNA codon recognition, and the 3' end, to which the tRNAs corresponding amino acid is attached (by aminoacyl-tRNA synthetases). tRNAs cope with the degeneracy of the genetic code in two manners: having more than one tRNA (with a specific anti-codon) for a particular amino acid; and 'wobble' base-pairing, i.e. permitting non-standard base-pairing at the 3rd anti-codon position. Lineage: Bacteria; Bacillati; Actinomycetota; Actinomycetes; Kineosporiales; Kineosporiaceae. The record is from RNAcentral.